GGAUGGAGGCGGGGCCUGCUGUCUACACUAGCUCAGACACCGGGGAGUUUCCUAACAGAGGCCACCGCUUUCUUUCUUCCACUCCACGCAUUGUUGAACGGCUUUUCCUUUUCACACGACCGACGUAACCACCAGUCUCAAAUGACCUCUGUGUAGGAAUCUUAAGCAGGAACCUGAAUUGGCUGCCAAGAAUGCUGAGUCACACCCCCGAUGAGGAGGAUUUUCAGCAGGAAGAAAUUUGCUCCUUCGCGUGCCUUCCUGUAACAGAAAACGUGACCGUUGCAGUAGGAGAGCCCCAACCACUACAGUUUCCUAUUCCAAUGAAAAUAAAACUCGAACUCCUGCCGUGGCCUCCAACAGGUGAGUUCGUUCCCUGCCCACCUCUCAGCCUCAUCUGAUUCCUUUCUCUGCUCUGUCCUCCCUCCUCCACCCUGGCUCUUUUCGGUCUCCAGCGCACUCUGUCUGAGGCACCCCAGCUCCAUCCCGGAGCUCUUCGGCCGGGAACCCUCAUUUUCCAGGCCUGCUCCCUUUGCCUCGACCAGUAGAAUUUCGGAGCGCUUGGCCCUACUUGUUUCCGCGUGAAGGCACCAGGAUCUAAAAGCCUGGGUGUGCGUGUGUGCGUGUCCUUGUGGUGUCUUUGUUGUUCUUCACUUCUUUUCUGUCUCCUCUACCCUAAGGUCCUCGCGGACAGGGAGGUCAUCCUUCUUUACUACUUUAUGCCUAGCACCUACGAUGGUAGUAGGCAUGUCAUAGGAGAAGGUGCUUAGUAAAUAGCUGUUUAAAUAAAUGAGUCGGUUUCCAGUGUCACAGUACUUUUUUUGAUCUUCACA
Prionailurus viverrinus (fishing cat) is the source of this 830-nucleotide long non-coding RNA. RefSeq lists it as uncharacterized. The record is from RefSeq and is a predicted model, not a curated record. NCBI's taxonomy places the organism in Eukaryota, Metazoa, Chordata, Mammalia, Carnivora, Felidae. The transcript is spliced from 3 exons.